GACGAACGCUGGCGGCGUGCUUAACACAUGCAAGUCGAACGGUAAGGCUCCAGCUUGCUGGGGUACACGAGUGGCGAACGGGUGAGUAACACGUGGGUGACCUGCCCUGCACUUCGGGAUAAGCCUGGGAAACUGGGUCUAAUACCGGAUAGGACCGCACCGUGAGGGUGUGGUGGAAAGUUUUUUCGGUGUGGGAUGGGCCCGCGGCCUAUCAGCUUGUUGGUGGGGUAAUGGCCUACCAAGGCGGCGACGGGUAGCCGGCCUGAGAGGGUGGACGGCCACAUUGGGACUGAGACACGGCCCAGACUCCUACGGGAGGCAGCAGUGGGGAAUAUUGCACAAUGGGCGGAAGCCUGAUGCAGCGACGCCGCGUGGGGGAUGACGGCCUUCGGGUUGUAAACUCCUUUCACCAUCGACGAAGGGUUUCUGACGGUAGAUGGAGAAGAAGCACCGGCUAACUACGUGCCAGCAGCCGCGGUAAUACGUAGGGUGCGAGCGUUGUCCGGAAUUACUGGGCGUAAAGAGCUCGUAGGUGGUUUGUCGCGUCGUCUGUGAAAUUCCGGGGCUUAACUCCGGGCGUGCAGGCGAUACGGGCAUAACUUGAGUACUGUAGGGGAGACUGGAAUUCCUGGUGUAGCGGUGAAAUGCGCAGAUAUCAGGAGGAACACCGGUGGCGAAGGCGGGUCUCUGGGCAGUAACUGACGCUGAGGAGCGAAAGCAUGGGGAGCGAACAGGAUUAGAUACCCUGGUAGUCCAUGCCGUAAACGGUGGGCGCUAGGUGUGGGUUUCCUUCCACGGGAUCCGUGCCGUAGCUAACGCGUUAAGCGCCCCGCCUGGGGAGUACGGCCGCAAGGCUAAAACUCAAAGGAAUUGACGGGGGCCCGCACAAGCGGCGGAGCAUGUGGAUUAAUUCGAUGCAACGCGAAGAACCUUACCUGGGCUUGACAUAUACAGGAUCGCGCCAGAGAUGGUGUUUCCCUUGUGGUUUGUAUACAGGUGGUGCAUGGUUGUCGUCAGCUCGUGUCGUGAGAUGUUGGGUUAAGUCCCGCAACGAGCGCAACCCUUGUCUUAUGUUGCCAGCACGUUGUGGUGGGGACUCGUAAGAAACUGCCGGGGUUAACUCGGAGGAAGGUGGGGAUGACGUCAAAUCAUCAUGCCCCUUAUGUCCAGGGCUUCACACAUGCUACAAUGGUCGGUACAGUGGGUUGCCAGUCCGUGAGGGCGAGCUAAUCCUGCAAAGCCGGUCUCAGUUCGGAUCGGGGUCUGCAACUCGACCCCGUGAAGUCGGAGUCGCUAGUAAUCGCAGAUCAGCAACGCUGCGGUGAAUACGUUCCCGGGCCU
Molecule: ribosomal RNA, 1341 nt
Filed under: uncultured bacterium
Lineage: Bacteria
Description: partial 16S ribosomal RNA
Rfam family: Bacterial small subunit ribosomal RNA
Source: RNAcentral